CUUGAAAGCUGGCUAGCACACAUCCUAGGGAAGAUCCCCGAGGUUGGCUCUGUGCUGAAAGAUGCUUGUCUUCCAUGACAGUGGCUGUGGGUAACCAGUACUUUGAAAGAGGAGCCCAUGGAUAACAUGCUGCAGAAGUAACCCAGGAUGGAUGUGAGAGCAUUUCAGAGUCCUCCCCCAUGCUGCCUGGAGAACUUGACAAGCUGGAGCCAACCCUACAGUAGACUUGGCACUUUAAUUACUCCAGGCAAUGAUACUGGGCUGACUUAAAUGGAAAACUGAAAAAUUGAGGAGUUGAGACUAACAACUGUGACCUUCCAUGAGGUUGGCAGCUCAUUGCACUUUUCUAUAGCUCAAAGA
This 360-nucleotide long non-coding RNA is filed under the name Zonotrichia albicollis (white-throated sparrow). Its description in RNAcentral is "lncRNA (ENSZALG00000014388.1)". The record is from RNAcentral. Lineage: Eukaryota; Metazoa; Chordata; Aves; Passeriformes; Passerellidae.